GUAGGUGGCAAGCGUUGUCCGGAAUUAUUGGGCGUAAAGCGCGCGCAGGCGGCCCUUUAAGUCUGAUGUGAAAGCCCACGGCUCAACCGUGGAGGGUCACUGGAAACUGGGGGACUUGAGUACAGAAGAGGAAAGCGGAAUUCCAAGUGUAGCGGUGAAAUGCGUAGAGAUUUGGAGGAACACCAGUGGCGAAGGCGGCUUUCUGGUCUGUAACUGACGCUGAGGCGCGAAAGCGUGGGGAGCAAACAGGGAUUAGAUACCCUGGUAGUCCACGCCGUAAACGAUGAGUGCUAAGUGUUAGGGGGGUUUCCGCCCCCGUUAGUGCUGCAGCUAACGCAUUAAGCACUCCGCCUGGGGAGUACGGCCGCAAGGCUG
This 375-nucleotide ribosomal RNA is filed under the name uncultured organism. Its description in RNAcentral is "partial 16S ribosomal RNA". It matches the Rfam family "Bacterial small subunit ribosomal RNA", at positions 527 to 896 of the family's 1533-position model. The record is from RNAcentral.